Clostridium sp. CAG:628 is the source of this 30-nucleotide non-coding RNA. The record is from Rfam. Lineage: Bacteria; Bacillati; Bacillota; Clostridia; Eubacteriales; Clostridiaceae.
CUAUAACUAGUAAAGUUAUGGCGAAAGGAG